UGAGGUCGCUGGUUGCCGUUGACUGCAUCACUUCAUCACCCACCGAGUGGCCUUCUUAGCAGACACGCCCAUGUGCGUCGCCUGACCCAUGAACCUGAAGUGUGUGAGGCUGCAGCUUCACUGAGAUCGGAGGAGCAACGGCACGAAGUAAGAGAAGAGGGCAGACUUUUCAAAGCUCCAAUAACGACUGCGAUGGUGGCACGCGAACGACGAGAAAGCCAUGGUGAUGGGCGCCUAGGCUUUGCAAUUCUCUCCACCCUCUCUGCUGCCGCCGUUGAUUCACCCCUCCCCUGUUGCUAAACUCUGGCUCAUCCAGAUCGUGGCCAACAGCUCCCCCGCCAGAGAAAGAGAACUCGGGGUGAUCGAUGCUGCACGAGGCAGAGGCGGAGCCGGCCGGGGCAUGGGCAGAAGCGGAGCCGGACGGAGGGUGCCGAUGACCGAGCGGGGGGCACUGCGGGCGGCCCGUGGGCGCGCAGCCGCUGCAAGGGCAUGUGCAGGGGCACGGUCGGGAGCAGCGGAGCCUGCGUGGUGCAAGAGGAGGCGACCCAGCGUAGUGCGGGCUGGACGAAGCGGAGCCGGUGCAGGCGCGUGCGCAGGCCAGCGAACUUGGCGCGCUCGGACUUGGGCGCGUCCGUGGAGAGGUGGAGCGGAGCAGAUGGGGAGGAGACGCUGGAGGAGAAAGGGGGAAAAGGCGAGGCCAGUAGGGCAGCGGCGCGAGGGGGCAGGAAGGGUUGGGGAGGGGGCGCGAGUGCGGGUCAUCGGCCACGGCAAGCGGGACGGGCGGGGUGAGCGGCUGGGAAGGGGCGAGCGGGACGGGCG
RNAcentral lists this ribosomal RNA (819 nucleotides) under Triticum aestivum (bread wheat). Its description in RNAcentral is "partial small subunit ribosomal RNA". The record is from RNAcentral. Lineage: Eukaryota; Viridiplantae; Streptophyta; Magnoliopsida; Poales; Poaceae.